GACAUUUCUAAAGGGAAAAAAAUCCCACAAAGUGCACUUGAAAAGCUCACACAAGAAGGCUAACCUAGCUUACCUUGAGAAGGUAAGGGAGCACACUCAACCCUCAUCCUCAGAAACAGACGCUAACCCCAGGCAAGGCAGCGUGAUGCAUCCCGAGACAACAGGACUGGGAUAUCUACAUAACUGUGUGAGUCAAUUGCCUUCAAAAAGUUUAUCAAUUCACUUGAACCAAAAUUAUGAACACCCGGUGCUGCAAGAGUUAAUAGUCUCAUUGGGGCCAAGAUAUACAUGUUAUAGUUGCCUGGUAUCAAUGGUUGUUCAUCUGCCCUUAUUUAUUUAUUUAUUUAAAGAACCCAUAGGUGGGAAUGUGAGUUGUCUGUCUCUGCGUGUUAGCCCUGCGACAGACAGGCGACCUGUCCAGGGUGCAGGGUAUGGUAGCUGGAAUAGCAACAUACCCAAGGAUAAGCAGAAGAGAAUGACUGCUAUGAUGAAACUGGGAUUUUGUUACACUUAAUUAUUGCAAACACAACUAAAACUAACUGAAACUAAUCAAAACUAAACUGAAACUCAGAUUUUCAAAAAAAUAAAAACUAAACUAAAUUGGCAAACAAUUGGUAAAUACUAAUUAAAACUGAUAUAAAAUUGAAAAUCUGAAGUAAAAAAUAAAUAAAAAUAAAAACUAAUGAAAAUUGCAAAACUAGUAAAACCCUGGUGGGGACAGAGCAUCUCCUUGGUAGAUCCCGCCUUCUUGUAAUCAAUCCAGGCAGUGCACAGGUUGGUCAGUCUGGUCCUGCAGUCUCGGCUGACUGCUUGGUCUGCCAGUAGCUGGUGUUUUGCGCCUCUGGUAUUCUUGCCCAUCCCUUUCUGUGCCCCGCUCACGUAUUGACCCAUGUGCCUGUUCAUCUCAGCCACUAUGAUGCCUGACAGGAGCUUCCACGUGUAUAUGUUCCCUUCGGUCCUUGUCGUGUCAUUGAUGUUGUCUACGCCAUACCUGUUUCCAGUCCAGCCAGGUUAGUCAGCUAUUUCAGUUCAGUCAGUCCUCCGUUUCAUGUCCUGUUUAUCUGCUCAUCAUAAUAAACUCUAGCUUUCACCUAUCUGAGUCCAGCGUUUGGGUCCUCUUUUCCUCGCAUCCACACACGAUACAAGCCCUGACAAUAUAAUUCUUGCUUAUUAUUAUUAUUAUUAUUAUUAUUAUUAUUU
Molecule: long non-coding RNA, 1200 nt
Organism: Astatotilapia calliptera (eastern happy)
Lineage: Eukaryota; Metazoa; Chordata; Actinopteri; Cichliformes; Cichlidae
Source: Ensembl